This 468-nucleotide ribosomal RNA is filed under the name uncultured bacterium. RNAcentral describes it as "partial 16S ribosomal RNA". It matches the Rfam family "Bacterial small subunit ribosomal RNA", at positions 28 to 507 of the family's 1533-position model. The record is from RNAcentral.
GACGAACGCUGGCGGCGUGCUUAACACAUGCAAGUCGAACGGAAAGGCCCUGCUUUUGUGGGGUGCUCGAGUGGCGAACGGGUGAGUAACACGUGAGUAACCUGCCCUUGACUUUGGGAUAACUUCAUGAAACUGGGGCUAAUACCGGAUAGGAUCUACUGCUGCAUGGUGGGGGUUGGUAAGUUUCGGUGGUUGGGGAUGGACUCGCGGCUUAUCAGCUUGUUGGUGGGGUAGUGGCAUACCAAGGCUUUGACGGGUAGCCGACCUGAGAGGGUGACCGGCCACAUUGGGACUGAGAUACGGCACAGACUCCUACGGGAGGCAGCAGUGGGGAAUAUUGCACAAUGGGCGGAAGCCUGAUGCAGCAACGCCGCGUGCGGGAUGACGGCCUUCGGGUUGUAAACCGCUUUCGCCUGUGACGAAGCGUGAGUGACGGUAAUGGGUAAAGAAGCACCGGCUAACUACGUG